Long non-coding RNA from Triticum aestivum (bread wheat), 881 nucleotides. RefSeq lists it as uncharacterized. The record is from RefSeq and is a predicted model, not a curated record. The transcript has 3 exons. NCBI's taxonomy places the organism in Eukaryota, Viridiplantae, Streptophyta, Magnoliopsida, Poales, Poaceae.
UCUCUCUUCCAACUGACAUGCUAUUCACUCACGAUAUGAAACGUCAGCCACAGAUGCACAUGAAAGAAGAGGAUUAAUCGCCCCUCACUAUUUUGCCCUUGGUGCUAGAUUUAAUAGAGGGGCUCUUCUCCCCGACAUUUGCUCUUCCACCCACCGAAUCACAUCUCUCUUCACCUUCUCCAUCAGAUCUUACUCCUCUACCUCCCAUUGCAGGAGUAACCCGUGCAGCUGCACCCCAAUCAGUGUCGAUGGCUUGAUGGUUCUGCCUUCAUAUAUAAUGCGGGUCCAUUGCAGGUCUUGCCUCUAGAAAUUCAAGAAGGCGCCUAGGAAGAGUAGGUCGGAAGGAUUCCAGAUCUACCUUGCCUGAUCCUUGGGGGAGAUCCUGAUCGUGAUGAAGAUGCCAGUGACAUGUGCUGGAAGACGAAGAGAUAAUAAGAAGAGGACCAGUGAUGAGGUACCAAUUAAAGAGGAUUUCGCUGUUCGAUGAGGUCCUGCUGUCCACGCGGAUGACACCACUGAUCAUCAGCACCUAUUUUAAUCGCUCAACCUAUAGCAGUAGGUAUAUGUAACUUUAACAGAUGUUAGUUAGCUAGGUUCAUGAGGUCCCUGAAAUCUUCAGUGAUGUGGUAUGAUAUCUAUCUAUUUCUCAAUAACCAUUUGAUCACUCAUUUGAGAAAUUUCUGCAAUUAGUGAUAACAAGUCCAUUAGUUCAUAACAUCAUAUAGUAGUUCAUAUUCAAUUUUGAAGCAGAAAGAGUUUAAUUAGUUUAUGAUCUGUAUGUUCCUACUCUUUCUGUAGAGUUAUAUAUAAAGGCUUAAAGUCUGACAUACAAGAGCAUGGCAUUGCAGCCGGCCUGUAUCCUCUACCUCGACGUUCCUGUC